Molecule: ribosomal RNA, 61 nt
Filed under: Coconut LYDM-182 phytoplasma (Mozambique)
Lineage: Bacteria; Bacillati; Mycoplasmatota; Mollicutes; Acholeplasmatales; Acholeplasmataceae
Description: partial 23S ribosomal RNA
Source: RNAcentral
UUUGAAAAGUAGAUAAACAAAGUCUCUAAUGACGCACCAAUGAAGGAAAUAAGGGCGUACA